Molecule: long non-coding RNA, 1994 nt
Organism: Mustela erminea (ermine)
Lineage: Eukaryota; Metazoa; Chordata; Mammalia; Carnivora; Mustelidae
Exons: 5
Source: RefSeq, a predicted model, not a curated record
CCGAGGUGCAGAAAUUCUGAGGUGGUCACUCGGCCCCUGUGUCUCCGCUGUUCCUCUGAUCCGCACGCACCCGCUCUGGCUCUGCAGAUCUCAUGUGUGGGGUUCUUCCUAGGCUACAUUGGCUGAACUUAUAAGACACAGACUCAGAAGCACCUGUCAUGGCUCCAGGAGACCUCUGCUUCUAGUAGGACUGUAGGAGAAGUGCCUUGACAGGAGAAUGGUCCAGAGCAGCUCAGCUCAAACUGGGGCUUGAGAGACAGACCAAAACAUUGUCGGGAACGGCCCAGAAGAGAGAACUUCUGAGGAUGGCGCAGAAGGGUGACAGCUGUUCUCUUCUGCGACUUGACUUUCCCAAGAAUCUGUUCAGGGAAUAGGAUAUGGGACUCAUCAGAGUCAUCACGGCGUGGGUGGAAGCACAUUUCCUUAAUGGGUAAAAAAUCGAAACCUGCCUUUUCAAGAUAUCUAAAUGAUACCUUUGAAAAGGAACCGGAAUCAGCCUAAAGUUCCGGAGCCCGGGAAGUCUGAGAUCCGGGUACCUGAAGAUUCACUUCCCGAUGAGUACCCUCUUCUGGCUUGCAGAUGGCCGCCUUCUGGCUGUGUUCUCACAUGUGGAGAGAGAGCAUUCUGAUAUCUGAAGGGCUGUCAUGUGGAGGAGAAACAGACUGCUUCUGUGUGGCUCCAGAAGGCAAAACGAGACGGAUGAAGAAAGCUUGGAGGAGAAAUACUUUAGCUCAGCACAAGGCAGAACCUUCUGAACUAGUCCUCAGGAAGAUGACGCUGAGCAACAGAGUGGGCUUGCUCCCAGUCACAGGGGCGGUUUGUGGAGGCUGAACCCUUUUGUCAAGGGUGCAGUAUAGAAAGGAUCUAUUUACUAGAUAAGGCGCCCCUGCUUCUAAGAUAGUCUCCAUUUUUAAUUGCAUUUCUGUACAACUCAGGUGCCACUUUAGUAAUCAAUCAGCCACAGGAGGAAAGGAAAGGGAAAGGAAAGACAGGGAGAGAACCACCCAGCCGCAUUCUUAUUAAUUUUUUAUAAUCUUAAUUUUCAUGAUGAUAAGAAGAAAAAGUAAACCGUGUGCUAUGACCAAAAUUUGGUUACUAUAGAAAAGUCUGAAGUAGAAAAUAUCUAUCACCUAUCUCCCACCACACAUUUUGGGUAUCUAUUUUUACUUUUCUUUUAUCAAUAUAUACAUAAUUUGGUAACAGUUUUAUUGAAAUAGAAUUCACAUACCCCACAAUUCAGCCAUUUCAAACGUACAGUUGAAUGGUUUUUAGCAUGUUCUCAGAGUUGUACAACCACCACCACAACCCAAUUUAGAAUAUUUUCCUAAACCCAUUCCCCAAACCCUCUACCCUAUAGCAGUGACCCCAUUAUUUCCUCCACUUCCUCACACCCCUUCAGCUCAGGGAAACCACUGAUCUAUUUUCUAACUCUAUAGACUUUCUUAUUCUGGAAUUUCCUGUAAAUAGAAUAUUAUAUAACCAUAAUAUGUGGCCUUUUGUGGUCAGCUUCUUUCACUUACCAUAGUAUGUUCACAGUUCAUCCAUAUUGUAAUCUGUGUCAUUACUGUAAUCAUCUCUGUUGCUGAAAAAUACUCCAGUGUAGGAGAAUGCCACAUUUUCUACCCAUAACUUCAGGCCGAUGGAUUUUUGGAUUGUUUCCAUUUUUGCCUAUGAUGUAUAAGGCUGCAUGGAUAUUUGCAUACACAUUUUUGUAUGAGCAUAUGUUUUCAUUUCUCUUGGGUACAUACCUAGAAAUAGAAUUUUUUAGGUCCUAUGGUAGCUAUCUUUAAACCUUUUGAGGAAUUUCCAGACUGUUUCCCAAGACGUUUAUACCAUUUACAUUUCUACCAGCAGUGGUGAGAAUUCUCUCCACAUCCUCACCAACACUUGCUAUUAUCAGUCCUUUUUAUUCAAGCCAUCCUAGUGGCUAUAAAGAUGCAUCUCAUGGGGCACCUAGCUGACUCAAUCAGCAGAACCUGUGACUCUUGAUCUUG